RNAcentral lists this ribosomal RNA (253 nucleotides) under uncultured bacterium. RNAcentral's name for it is "partial 16S ribosomal RNA". It matches the Rfam family "Bacterial small subunit ribosomal RNA", at positions 524 to 776 of the family's 1533-position model. The record is from RNAcentral.
UACGGAGGGGGCUAGCGUUGUUCGGAAUUACUGGGCGUAAAGCGCACGUAGGCGGUUUUGUAAGUUAGAGGUGAAAGCCCGGGGCUCAACUCCGGAAUUGCCUUUAAGACUGCAUCGCUAGAAUUGUGGAGAGGUAAGUGGAAUUCCGAGUGUAGAGGUGAAAUUCGUAGAUAUUCGGAAGAACACCAGUGGCGAAGGCGACUCACUGGACACGUAUUGACGCUGAGGUGCGAAAGCGUGGGGAGCAAACAGG